RNAcentral lists this transfer RNA (71 nucleotides) under Prevotellaceae bacterium. Its description in RNAcentral is "tRNA-Cys". It matches the Rfam family "tRNA". From Rfam's summary of the family: Transfer RNA (tRNA) molecules are approximately 80 nucleotides in length. Their secondary structure includes four short double-helical elements and three loops (D, anti-codon, and T loops). Further hydrogen bonds mediate the characteristic L-shaped molecular structure. tRNAs have two regions of fundamental functional importance: the anti-codon, which is responsible for specific mRNA codon recognition, and the 3' end, to which the tRNAs corresponding amino acid is attached (by aminoacyl-tRNA synthetases). tRNAs cope with the degeneracy of the genetic code in two manners: having more than one tRNA (with a specific anti-codon) for a particular amino acid; and 'wobble' base-pairing, i.e. permitting non-standard base-pairing at the 3rd anti-codon position. Lineage: Bacteria; Pseudomonadati; Bacteroidota; Bacteroidia; Bacteroidales; Prevotellaceae. The record is from RNAcentral.
GGUACCAUGGCCGAGGGGUUAGGCAGCGGUCUGCAAAACCGUGUACGGCAGUUCGAAUCUGCCUGGUACCU